This 494-nucleotide ribosomal RNA is filed under the name uncultured Desulfobulbus sp. Its description in RNAcentral is "bacterial SSU rRNA". It matches the Rfam family "Bacterial small subunit ribosomal RNA", at positions 894 to 1382 of the family's 1533-position model. Lineage: Bacteria; Pseudomonadati; Thermodesulfobacteriota; Desulfobulbia; Desulfobulbales; Desulfobulbaceae. The record is from RNAcentral.
AGAAACUACAAAGGAAUUGACGGGGCCCGGCACAAGCGGUGGAGUAUGUGGUUUAAUUCGAUGCAACGCGAAGAACCUUACCUGGUCUUGACAUCCCGGAGACCCUUAGGAAACUAGGGGGUGCUUCCAUCUGGAAGAAUCUGGAGACAGGUGCUGCAUGGCUGUCGUCAGCUCGUGUCGUGAGAUGUUGGGUUAAGUCCCGCAACGAGCGCAACCCUUGCCUUUAGUUGCCAGCAGUUCGGCUGGGCACUCUAAAGGGACUGCCGGUGUUAAACCGGAGGAAGGUGGGGAUGACGUCAAGUCCUCAUGGCCUUUAUGACCAGGGCUACACACGUACUACAAUGGCCGAUACAAAGGGCAGCGACACUGCGAGGUGAAGCCAAUCCCGUAAAAUCGGUCUCAGUCCGGAUUGGAGUCUGCAACUCGACUCCAUGAAGUUGGAAUCGUUAGUAAUCGUGGAUCAGCAUGCCACGGUGAAUACGUUCCCGGGCCUU